Molecule: ribosomal RNA, 256 nt
Filed under: uncultured bacterium
Lineage: Bacteria
Description: partial 16S ribosomal RNA
Rfam family: Bacterial small subunit ribosomal RNA
Source: RNAcentral
GCAUCCUACGGGACGCAGUAGUAGGGAAUCUUCCACAAUGGACGAAAGUCUGAUGGAGCAACGCCGCGUGAGUGAAGAAGGGUUUCGGCUCGUAAAGCUCUGUUGGUAGCGAAGAAAGAUAGAGGUAGUAACUGGCCUUUAUUUGACGGUAAUUACUUAGAAAGUCACGGCUAACUACGUGCCAGCAGCCGCGGUAAUACGUAGGUGGCAAGCGUUGUCCGGGUUUAUUGGGCGUAAAGCGAGUGCAGGCGGUUCA